This 292-nucleotide ribosomal RNA is filed under the name uncultured bacterium. RNAcentral describes it as "partial 16S ribosomal RNA". It matches the Rfam family "Bacterial small subunit ribosomal RNA", at positions 505 to 796 of the family's 1533-position model. The record is from RNAcentral.
GUGUCAGCAGCCGCGGUAAGACGAGCUCUCCAAACGUUAUUCGGUAUUACUGGGCUUAAAGAGUUCGUAGGCGGUCGCGUAGGUGAGGUGUGAAAGCCCUCGGCUUAACCGAGGAAUUGCGCUUCAAACCGCGUGGCUAGAGGAAGGUAGGGGUAUGCGGAACAGAUGGUGGAGCGGUGAAAUGCGUUGAUAUCAUCUGGAACACCGGUGGCGAAAGCGGCAUACUGGACCUUAUCUGACGCUGAGGAACGAAAGCUAGGGUAGCGAACGGGAUUAGAAACCCGUGUAGUCC